CCAAAACCAAAAAAAAAGAGAGAAAAAAUGAAAAA
This 35-nucleotide small RNA is filed under the name Arabidopsis thaliana (thale cress). RNAcentral describes it as "ATSL004300". Lineage: Eukaryota; Viridiplantae; Streptophyta; Magnoliopsida; Brassicales; Brassicaceae. The record is from RNAcentral.